UGAGUAACACGUGGGCAAUCUGCCCUGCACUUCGGGAUAAGCCUGGGAAACUGGGUCUAAUACCGGAUAGGACCUUUAGACGCAUGUCUUUUGGUGGAAAGCUUUUGCGGUGUGGGAUGGGCCCGCGGCCUAUCAGCUUGUUGGUGGGGUGAUGGCCUACCAAGGCGACGACGGGUAGCCGGCCUGAGAGGGUGUCCGGCCACACUGGGACUGAGAUACGGCCCAGACUCCUACGGGAGGCAGCAGUGGGGAAUAUUGCACAAUGGGCGCAAGCCUGAUGCAGCGACGCCGCGUGGGGGAUGACGGCCUUCGGGUUGUAAACCUCUUUCACCAUCGACGAAGGUCCGGGUUUUCUCGGAUUGACGGUAGGUGGAGAAGAAGCACCGGCCAACUACGUGCCAGCAGCCGCGGUAAUACGUAGGGUGCGAGCGUUGUCCGGAAUUACUGGGCGUAAAGAGCUCGUAGGUGGUUUGUCGCGUUGUUCGUGAAAUCUCACGGCUUAACUGUGAGCGUGCGGGCGAUACGGGCAGACUAGAGUACUGCAGGGGAGACUGGAAUUCCUGGUGUAGCGGUGGAAUGCGCAGAUAUCAGGAGGAACACCGGUGGCGAAGGCGGGUCUCUGGGCAGUAACUGACGCUGAGGAGCGAAAGCGUGGGGAGCGAACAGGAUUAGAUACCCUGGUAGUCCACGCCGUAAACGGUGGGUACUAGGGUGUGGGUUUCCUUCCUUGGGAUCCGUGCCGUAGCUAACGCAUUAAGUACCCCGCCUGGGGGAGUACGGGCCGCAAGGCUAAAACUCAAAAGGAAUUUGACGGGGGGCCCGCACAA
RNAcentral lists this ribosomal RNA (827 nucleotides) under Mycobacterium sp. RNAcentral describes it as "bacterial SSU rRNA". It matches the Rfam family "Bacterial small subunit ribosomal RNA", at positions 107 to 928 of the family's 1533-position model. The record is from RNAcentral. Lineage: Bacteria; Bacillati; Actinomycetota; Actinomycetes; Mycobacteriales; Mycobacteriaceae.